AUAUGGCUGGCAUGGGCUAUAGUAACAUGUUUGCCAUUGUUUUAUUUCCUUGGACAAAUAUUUGUAUCGGGAACUUUCCUACAACAAGUGUUCAUAAUUGGUUUCUUUUUAUUCAGUAAGUAUUACUUUUCUAUUCCUAACAAUAGCUUAUAUGGUCACAUCCUACAUAUAUUUGUUAUAUCAUUUUCUAAGAUAAAUAAUUACUCCCAGAACAGACUUUAUAGACUAACUCUAAUAGCUGUUUAAUUUACAAGAUUUCAGUAUUGUGUUCAGCUUUUUCUCAACCUUUAUUAUCUCCUUGUCCGAUGUCCCAUAAGGCCUCUACAGUUCAACGUUUCUGAAAGCUCAUUUUAACUGAGUUAGGUCGUUAGCCCAAUGUCAAACAUCCACUUCUCUAGGUUCAUGUAGUUCUUACCGUAGAUGAUUGUAUUACCAUGCUAACAGAUGCAUCUGUCCUGAUUUCUUUCUUUAGGUGUACAUCACACAGUCAUUUGAGCAACGUUCCACUUUUCUAGCAAACCUUGAAUUUUCAUUCUUGAGCAGCUAUUAUUAAAGUAAAAAGAUACCAAAGGUGAAAUGAGAAAACUGCCAUUGCAAAAAAUUAAAAAGACAAAUAGACAAAAACAAAUGUUCAAGACAAACCCCAUGAUACUAAAAAUUGAGCAACACAAACUACAUGAAAGGCAUAAACCGGUUUCUAGGUGUCUGGAGAUGUUGACAAUUCCUACUCCAUGAAAGGCAUAAACCGGUUUCUAGGUGUCUGGAGAUGUUGACAAUUCCUACUCCAUGAAAGGCAUAAACAGAUCUCUAGGUGUCUGGAGAUGUUGACAAUUCCUACUCCAUGAAAGGCAUAAACAGAUCUCUAGGUGUCUGGAGAUGUUGACAAUUCCUACUCCAUGAAAGGCAUAAACAGAUCUCUAGGUAAAAUUGAGAAUGGAAAUGGGGAAUGUGUCAAAGAGACAACAACCCGACCAAAAUAAAAAACAACAGCAGAAGGUCACCAACAGGUCUUCAAUGUAGCGAGAAAUUCCCGCACCCGGAGGCGUCCUUCAGCUGGCCCCUAAACAAAUAUAUACUAGUUCAGUGAUAAUGAACGCCAUACUAAUUUCCAAAUUGUACACAAGAAACUAAAAUUUAAAUAAUACAAGACUAACAAAGGCCAGAGGCUCCUGACUUGGGACAGGCGCAAAAAAUGCGGCGGGGUUAAACAUGUUUGUGAGAUCUCAACCCUCCCCCUAUACCUCUAACCAGUGUAGAAAAGUAAAAGCAUAACAAUACGCACAUUAAAAUUAAGUUCAAGAGAAGUCCGAGUCUGAUGUCAGAAGAUGUAACCAAAGAAAAUAAACAAAAUGACAAUAAUACAUAAAUAACAACAGACUACUAGCAGUUAACUGACAUGCCAGCUCCAGACUUCAAUUAAACUGACUGAAAGAUUAUGAUUUCAUCAUAUGAACAUCAGGCACAAUCCUUCCCGUAAGGGGUUUAGUAUCAUACCAUCAUAACAUAUAUGAGAAGAACAUAACCCGUGUCAUGCCAACAACUGUUUUUAGAAUAAAUGUGUUUAGUUCCGACGCAAAGACCUUAUCAGUGACUCAAUAUUAACGCCAAAAUAUGCAAUCUUUAAUGACUUGACAACAGUAUCGUAAUUAUAUCCCUUCUUAAUAAGUCUAUUCAAAGGUUUUGUAAGUUUAUGAGGUGAAUACUGACACCUUUGUGCUUUAUAAAGAAUAUUUCCAUAAAAAAUUGGAUGUGAAAUACCUGAACGUAUAAAAAGUCUGCAUGUUGAGCUAUAUUUACGAAUGAUGUCUUUAUACCGAUGAUAAAAUUUAGUAAGUGUCUGGAGAUGUUGACAAUUCCUACUACAAGAAAGGAUAAACAGAUCUCUAGGUGUCUGGAGAUGUUGACAAUUCCUACUCAUCUAUUCAUGUUACCUAAAUCCAGUAAAAAGCUAAUAAUAAGUUAUAUUUAAUGCCAUAAUGGAAAAAAAGGAGGACAAGGUUUCAGAAAUCAGUCCCAAACAAAACAUUUGCUGAAACUGACAUUAUUAAGAUGGUUGAUUUCUUGAAAACAUAUGUGUUACCUGUGGAGGAUGUGUUUUUCAACAAAUAAUUGGCAUUGUCAUAUGAACCAACUGCCCCCCUCAUCUUAUCAUCUCGUUCCUUAUUCACUUGAGACUGCCUUCAUACAGGAACUUCUUAGAAAAAAUAAGUUAUCACUAUCCUUUAAUUUCACUUUCCACUAUAUAAAAGAUCUUCUCUAAGUAAUUAAUUCUGAAUUUGGUGAUUAUAUUAAACGCAUCUAUACUGUGGAACUUGAGAUAAAGGAUACAACAGAUCCAUUUAAGUCUUGUUUCAUAUCUUGACUUACACCUAGAAAUUGACAAAAGAGGUGAUUUCAGCUUCCAAAUAGUGAACUACCCAUUCCUAUAUAGAAACAUUCAAGCAGCACCUGCAUAUGGAGUAUUUAUCUCCCAAUUGAUAAGAUAUUCCAUGGCUUGUGUUUUAUUAAUUUCAUUUCCUUGAUAAAGAGUUGCUCCUCACAAUGAAACUAAUUUAACCAAGAUUUCCAAGUGUUGGAGUUGAAAUCAUCCCUUAGCAAAAAUUCACGGAUGCCAUCACAAGUUGGUUGACAGUUAUGGAAUUUCUGUUUCAGAGAUGACAAUGGAUAUGUUCAAAGUGUUGUAACUACAAUGUUGUCCCCUUAUCCCCAAGGUGACCUUCUCAAAUAGACAUAUCACCAGGUUUUACUUAAAACAAGGAAUUAUUCGAAUCUGGAAUAAUUUUUAAUUCUAGAAAAAAUUGGUGAGAAACUAAUGGCUAAGGGGGGUUAGUUAGUUUAUACUGAAAUGAUAGUGAAAAUAAAAUUAACCUUAGCCAUGCCUUUUUAGUUGGGUUAGUUUUCAUAAUCAAUUUUCCAGAUUUCAAAAUUAUUCCAGAUUCAAAUAAUUCCUUGUUUUAAGCAACAUCACAAGUGGCACAUGUGGAGCAGGAUCUGCUUAACCUGCCCCAGAUCAUCCCCAGUUUAUGGUAUUUGUGUUUCUAUUUUAGCCAUGGGUAUUGUCAGUUUAUUACAUUUGUGAGUCUCUUUUAGAAUCGAUAUUUUGCUUCUCUUUUUCCAUUAAAUCAAAAUUAUAAUCUGACCAUUUUAUAACACAUUUCUUUCACCAAUGACUGUUACUAGAUUUAUUUCACUAGACUGGGCGGAGUUUAAGAAGUUCACUCAUUUACGACCAGUCCAUCUAUAGACAGGAGUUUUGGGAUAAUGAAGUGUGCAGUUAUUUGUCCCAUAUCAUACAAUCAGUUCUUUUGUAUAUGCGUUUGGUGACACUGAUUAGUGAUUAGAAUUCAAUAAGUAUCAUAACGGCAAUCAUCCUUAUCACACACAUCUUCAGAUAGACUGUCCUUAUGCAAAUUAAAACAUAAGCUCCGCCCGAUCAGUUGAAAUAAAAUUAGUAAUACCUGUGUAUUUUCAGUGUCUGUAGCAGCCAAAUGGUUAAUAGGAUGGACAGAAACAAAGAAAGGAUCAAAAUAUGGAAUGAAAGAAAAGAAAAAGAACAAAUAACAAGUCUUUUAUACUGUGAUAUUUUUUUUAAGAGUAUUACCUCAUAUUGUGUCAAAGUUUGUUAUGAGUCUUUCUGUUGAUUCUUUGGAUAUUUUCAUUUGAUAUAAGGGAUUUCCCUGGAUUAAGGGAAAAGAUUUUUUCUAAAUGGUUGAUUAUUCUUGUACAAUGUUGUACACACCUACUUAAUCUGUAUUAGGUUCAACGCUUGUCAUGGCAUACCCAUUUAAAUUCCACUGAGAAUGACAAGUCAGGGGCAGAUCCACUCAUUUUAAAAAGGGAGGGUUCCCAACCCAUAGUAAAGGAGGGGGAUGGUUCCAACUAUAUGCUCCCAUUCAAAUGCAUUGAUGGUCCAAAAAAAGGGGGUUCCAACACCCGAACCCCCCCUCCCUCCUGAUCUGCCAAUGCAAGUCCAUGAAUGAAAGACUUUUUUAAACUUUACAUACAUAUAAAAGGGUUGAUUAUGAAUGUGUAGAGAUAUUAUUUGUAUUCAGAUGAUAUAUUUUGAUACAUUUUUCUGGAUUGACCUUCAAUAGAAACGAUGAACUUCAGUUAUGGUUAGAGCAGGUUGAACAUUCCAAAAUUCAGAAAAACAAAAUGCAUGUCAUAACUUUCUAAAAACAAAAUGUUUCAUUGAAACCCAUGUCAGAUACUAAAUGGAAAUUAUACAAUAUUGACCUGAACACUCUGACCACAUUUUUGGUUCAAAUAUUUUGAAAAGGUUAACAAUUCAAGUUACAUUUAUACUUAAUUUUGUUACAUUUCCAUACUAGAUCAUCUUUGUCUAUUGUCAUUUGUUAAUGUUUAUAUUUUUUGAUGCCAUUUUGAGGACUUUUUUUUUUUUUAGUUAGAUGAAUUUUACUAUCUUUCUGUAACCAAACAAUAUCAUUUCUGUUGGUAUUUUUAAUCAGUAUAAAAAGCAUAAUUUGUUAAAUUAAUUUUUUUUAUUAUUACUUGAUUUAUUGUACUUGUCUAGUUAUAGCUUAAACCAAAAAAUAAUUCAGAGAUGCUUCAUUUUAAACGAAGAACUUCAGGAUUUUUUUUUCAACAUAU
Molecule: long non-coding RNA, 4611 nt
Filed under: Mytilus galloprovincialis (Mediterranean mussel)
Lineage: Eukaryota; Metazoa; Mollusca; Bivalvia; Mytilida; Mytilidae
Source: RNAcentral